Molecule: long non-coding RNA, 3297 nt
Organism: Oncorhynchus keta (chum salmon)
Lineage: Eukaryota; Metazoa; Chordata; Actinopteri; Salmoniformes; Salmonidae
Exons: 3
Source: RefSeq, a predicted model, not a curated record
UAGUCAAGAGGUCCAUGGAAAAGUGUAUUUCCUUUCAGGUAAUUUUGUUCGCGAGUUUAAUUUAUUUUCUGAAGUAACAUGAGCUAUAGCGGGACCUUUAAACGCUAGAAGAGAACAAUGAAAAAUAUAUUUCCUCAGGGAGAGAAGUAUGCCUUCCCAAGGGAUAGCAACGCAUGUAGCCUGUUUGGAUCAUAAGUGGAUGUCCAAGGCAUUGUUCAGGUGGUCGGGGAAUGGGAUUCCAGAGAUGGUCUUUUCCAGGGUUGACAGAGUGUGGUGUGACCGACCCUCCACCACCAUCUGCAGCCCAGCAGAGAUGGAGAGGUACUUUGCCUGUCCUCCGCUGCUCUCGAUGCCCAGGAAGCUCUGGCAGGUUUGGGGUACCUCUUCGAUCAGACUGGUUUGGUGCUGCAGGAUCACAAGGCUGCUAUUGAGGAACUGGAGACAGGUGAUCCUGAUGUCCAAGAGGAGGAUGAUGAGGGCUUUGUGGCGCUUGUGGAAGUUCAGGACCUGACAGUUCCAGUGGUGGAGACAGCCCUGCCUCUUGUUAGCACCUUUCGCCCUACUGUCACCCCCUCUACCAGCAUCCAGUCCACAGCUGCAUCAGUCAGUCCCCUGUCCUCCACUCCUGUACGGGCUACUCCACCACCAGCUGGUCCUCUGUUCAUGACCUCCACACCUGUGCCCGGCUGGGCCUCUGUUCAUGACCUCCACACCUGUGCCCGGCUGGGCCUCUGUUCAUGACCUCCACACCUGUGCCCGGCUGGGCCUCUGUUCAUGACCUCCACACCUGUGCCCGGCUGGGCCUCUGUUCAUGACCUCCACACCUGUGCCCGGCUGGGCCUCUGUUCAUGACCUCCACACCUGUGCCCGGCUGGGCCUCUGUUCAUGACCUCCACACCUGUGCCCGGCUGGGCCUCUGUUCAUGACCUCCACACCUGUGCCCGGCUGGGCCUCUGUUCAUGACCUCCACACCUGUGCCCGGCUGGGCCUCUGUUCAUGACCUCCACACCUGUGCCCGGCUGGGCCUCUAUUCAUGACCUCCACACCUGUGCCCGGCUGGGCCUCUGUUCAUGAUCUCCACACCCGUGCCCGGCUGGGCCUCUAUUCAUGACCUACACACCUGUGCCCGGCUGGGCCUCUGUUCAUGACCUCCACACCUGUGCCCGGCUGGGCCUCUGUUCAUGAUCUCCACACCUGUGCCCGGCUGGGCCUCUGUUCAUGACCUCCACACCUGUGCCCGGCUGGGCCUCUGUUCAUGACCUCCACACCUGUGCCCGGCUGGGCCUCUAUUCAUGACCUCCACACCUGUGCCCGGCUGGGCCUCUAUUCAUGACCUCCACACCUGUGCCCGGCUGGGCCUCUAUUCAUGACCUCCACACCUGUGCCCGGCUGGGCCUCUAUUCAUGACCUCCACACCUGUGCCCGGCUGGGCCUCUGUUCAUGAUCUCCACACCCGUGCCCGGCUGGGCCUCUAUUCAUGACCUCCACACCUGUGCCCGGCUGGGCCUCUAUUCAUGACCUCCACACCUGUGCCCGGCUGGGCCUCUAUUCAUGACCUCCACACCCGUGCCCGGCUGACACUCAGUCAGCUCCGUCUUCUGUUCCUUACGGGCUGGGCAUUCUGAUGGAGCAGGGAUCAAUCGUUCUUCAUUAUCAGUUAAUUAUAUAUAAUUGUAAUUAUUUGUGUUCAAUUGUUUGUCCCUCUGUGGUUUCAAAAGUAUUGUCCCCUAAAAUCACUCUGGGCACAAAAGCCCUUAGCUGAAUUCUCUAAUUACAUUUUGAUCAAUUAUUAAUGUCAGUCUUUCAAUGCUCCAUUGUAUAAACUAUGUAAUGUUCCUGCUUGUGUGCCUUGUGCACUGAUUUAAAACAAUUAGAGUAUAUUUGUCAUUCUCACGUCUUCCUCCAAUUCUGUGUCUUCAAUUACUUCCUUGAUUUACAAUGAAAACAAUUUCGUCAACAUUAGGUUUUCGAUGUGAACUUGAUAAAGCAUAAACACCACAGGAGUUCCAUGUUGUUGAACACAUUUCGCCUCCCCUUCUAUAAAUGUGAAUCCUGAAGAGGGCGAGGGGUUUGACAGAAAGAGACAGUUUUUCCAUAAUAAAACAUUAUGGAGGAGGAUGGUAACAGAUUCCCAGGCUGAGAGGAACGACGAUGAAGCCUGAUGCUUUUCUACUCUCAGAUUGUCACGGUAAGGACAAGAAAGCAUUAAAAACCAUUCAAGGCUAAAAUACAGCAGCCGUGUUGGGAUUCGAUACGGGGUCGGCAUCGGCGAGUAUGUUCAUUCUUGGUAGAAAAUGACCCCCGAAUUCGCUACACUCUUUAAUUCCUGAUGUCACAACCUCAGCCGGUGAGCUAUAUCCUUGGCUCAGUUGGUAGAGAAUGGAGUUUCCAACACCAGGGUUGUGAGUUCAAUUCCCAUGGGGGGCCAGUAUGGGAGAAAGAAAAUGAAUGUACUCAUUACUGUAAAUCACUCUGGAUAAGAGCAUCUGCUAAAUGACUAACUGACUGUCUUUACAUGAGACUGAGCUAAACGCCUAGCUCUGAGUACUAACACAAGUCUUCAGGUAACAAGCAAAGUUACUCAGCAUGUGCAUAGUGACCGUCUCCCUCCCUUAUGCAUACAGACAGGCCUCGUUCACCAUUAAUAAUAAUACACUGGAUCUAUAUAGCACUUUUCUACCAACUGAGGUACUCAAAGCAGUUAGUAAGAAGGUAAACUGACCUCAUCCACCACCCACCUGGGUGAUGCUCUGCAACAGUUGUGUGCUAGAACACUCACCACACGUCAGCUGGAAAGAUUAGUGAUUUAUGCCAAAAAGGAAUGAGAGGGAUGAUUAGGUGGCCAUGAUGGAAUGGGGCCAGGUUGGGAAUUUAUACAUGACAUCAGAGUUAACACUCCUACUCUAAUGAUAAGUGCCAUGGGAUUUUUAAUGACCACAGAGAGCCAGGACACCUGUUUAACAUCCCAUCCGAAACCAGGUGUUAUCUGGUUGAUCUACUUACCAUGGCUCUGCUACUGGUCCUGUAGGGUUUCAGUUACCAUGACAACCUGAGCCGUGCUCUGUAGACUAGUACAGUUUCCUUGGUGUUGUUUCAACAGAGACAGUAGUACAGACAUUUCACAUAGAUUUUGCUGUCCCAUGUCAUCCCUGUCUCCGGUCAUCCCUGUCCCCUGGCAGAUACACUGUCCCCUGUCAUCCCUGUCCCCUGGCAGAUACACUGUCCCCUGUCAUCCCUGUCCUCUGGCAGUUACACUGUCCCUGUCCCCUGUCAUCCCUGUCCCCUGGUAGUUACACU